UACGUAGGGUGCGAGCGUUAAUCGGAAUUACUGGGCGUAAAGCGUGCGCAGGCGGUGAUGUAAGACCGAUGUGAAAUCCCCGGGCUUAACCUGGGAACUGCAUUUGUGACUGCAUGGCUGGAGUGCGGCAGAGGGGGAUGGAAUUCCGCGUGUAGCAGUGAAAUGCGUAGAUAUGCGGAGGAACACCGAUGGCGAAGGCAAUCCCCUGGGCCUGCACUGACGCUCAUGCACGAAAGCGUGGGGAGCAAACAGG
RNAcentral lists this ribosomal RNA (253 nucleotides) under uncultured bacterium. RNAcentral's name for it is "partial 16S ribosomal RNA". It matches the Rfam family "Bacterial small subunit ribosomal RNA", at positions 524 to 776 of the family's 1533-position model. The record is from RNAcentral.